GUAUGUGCCUGCCUUUUCAGCCUUCAGAAAAGCAGAGAGAAGCCUAUUAGGAUCUUCCAGUGCAGCAGCCCCCCUUACCCAGCCCAUUUCAUCCUUUGAUUAUUAUUCUAAUUGCUGGCAUUUAAGUACUUCAACCCCCAUUGCAUUCUUACUUCGAAAAUCUUGUACUCAUUUGGUGUUGCCAACCCCCUUGCUUGCAAUUUAGCCACUUAUCCAUUGAAAUAAAUGACAGAGAAUGAGGGCUCUCUGAGUCUGUCUGAUGAGCUUUAAUGAUGAGAUCCUGAUGCUCAUUUCAUCUCUGAGCAUGUCAACAGCUGAAUAUUCAAUUGUGCCACCAGACAAAGUGCUACUCAUAAUUGUCUUCUGAUCUGCUCCAGCAACCAGUUGAGUUCCAGGAUUUUCAAGCUUCCCUCUACUUCCCACUGCUUUCUUCAAUCAGAAGUCAGGGAACACCCAACUGGUGAAAAUGGAUUCCUCUGUUCCA
Long non-coding RNA from Anolis carolinensis (green anole), 484 nucleotides. RefSeq lists it as uncharacterized. The record is from RefSeq and is a predicted model, not a curated record. Lineage: Eukaryota; Metazoa; Chordata; Lepidosauria; Squamata; Anolidae. The transcript has 3 exons.